CCUACGGGAGGCAGCAGUGGGGAAUAUUGCACAAUGGGCGAAAGCCUGAUGCAGCAACGCCGCGUGAGUGAGGAAGUUUUUCGGUAUGUAAAGCUCUAUUAGUAGGGAAUAGAAUACGUGGUAGUUGAUAUAGAAGCCUCGACUAAAUAUGAGCCAGCAGCCGCGGUAAUACGUAGGGGGCAAGCGUUAUCCGGAUUUACUGGGUAUAAGGGGAGCGUAGACGGUUAGGCAAGUCAGAGGUGAACGCCCAAGGCUCAACCAUGGUGCCGCUUUUGAAACUGGCAAACUAGAGUACGGGAGAGGUAAGAGGAAUUCCAGGUGUAGCGGUGAAAUGCGUAGAUAUUAGGAGGAACACCAGUGGCGAAGGCGACUUGCUGGACCGAAACUGACGUUGAGGCGCGAAAGCGUGGGGAUCAAACAGGAUUAGAUACCCUAGUAGUC
Molecule: ribosomal RNA, 441 nt
Filed under: uncultured bacterium
Lineage: Bacteria
Description: partial 16S ribosomal RNA
Rfam family: Bacterial small subunit ribosomal RNA
Source: RNAcentral